Molecule: ribosomal RNA, 253 nt
Filed under: uncultured bacterium
Lineage: Bacteria
Description: partial 16S ribosomal RNA
Rfam family: Bacterial small subunit ribosomal RNA
Source: RNAcentral
UACGGAGGAUGCAAGCGUUAUCCGGAAUGAUUGGGCGUAAAGCGUCCGCAGGUGGCAAUGUAAGUCUGCUGUCAAAGCGUCUGGCUCAACCAGAUAAAGGCAGUGGAAACUACAUAGCUAGAGUAAGGUAGGGGUAGAGGGAAUUCCUGGUGUAGCGGUGAAAUGCGUAGAGAUCAGGAAGAACACCGGUGGCGAAAGCGCUCUGCUGGACCUUAACUGACACUCAGGGACGAAAGCUAGGGGAGCGAAUGGG